Molecule: ribosomal RNA, 253 nt
Filed under: uncultured bacterium
Lineage: Bacteria
Description: partial 16S ribosomal RNA
Rfam family: Bacterial small subunit ribosomal RNA
Source: RNAcentral
UACGAAGGGGGCUAGCGUUGUUCGGAAUUACUGGGCGUAAAGCGCACGUAGGCGGAUCGAUCAGUCAGGGGUGAAAUCCCGGAGCUCAACUCUGGAACUGCCUUUGAUACUGUCGAUCUAGAGUAUGGAAGAGGUGAGUGGAAUUCCGAGUGUAGAGGUGAAAUUCGUAGAUAUUCGGAGGAACACCAGUGGCGAAGGCGGCUCACUGGUCCAUUACUGACGCUGAGGUGCGAAAGCGUGGGGAGCAAACAGG